This 249-nucleotide ribosomal RNA is filed under the name uncultured Acidimicrobiales bacterium. RNAcentral describes it as "partial 16S ribosomal RNA". It matches the Rfam family "Bacterial small subunit ribosomal RNA", at positions 355 to 621 of the family's 1533-position model. Lineage: Bacteria; Bacillati; Actinomycetota; Acidimicrobiia; Acidimicrobiales. The record is from RNAcentral.
UGGGGAAUCUUGCGCAAUGGGCGAAAGCCUGACGCAGCAACGCCGCGUGCGGGAAGAAGGCUUUCGGGCUGUAAACCGCUUUCAGCAGGAACGAAAAUGACGGUACCUGCAGAAGAAGGAGCGGCCAACUAUGUGCCAGCAGCCGCGGUGAUACAUAGGCUUCAAGCGUUGUCCGGAUUUAUUGGGCGUAAAGAGUUCGUAGGCGGUUGAGUAAGUCGGGUGUGAAAAUUCUGGGCUAAACCCAGAGAC